This 420-nucleotide ribosomal RNA is filed under the name uncultured bacterium. RNAcentral's name for it is "bacterial SSU rRNA". It matches the Rfam family "Bacterial small subunit ribosomal RNA", at positions 355 to 774 of the family's 1533-position model. The record is from RNAcentral.
UAAGGAAUAUUGCUCAAUGGGAGAAAUCCUGAAGCAGCAACGCCGCGUGGAGGAUGAAGGGUCUAUGACUUGUAAACUCCUGUAAAGAAGGAAAAAAUUCCCAUUUGAUGGGAGAUGAUGGUACUUCUGGAGUAAGCCCCGGCUAACUACGUGCCAGCAGCCGCGGUAAUACGUAGGGGGCAAGCGUUGUCCGGAUUUACUGGGUGUAAAGGGUGCUCAGGCGGAUUUGUAAGUCAGAGGUGAAAUCUUACAGCUUAACUGUGAAACUGCCUUUGAUACUGCAAGCCUAGAGUAUGGAAGAGAGUGAUGGAAUAUCUGGUGUAGCAGUGAAAUGCGUAGAUAGCAGAUAGAACACCAAUGGCGAAGGCAGUCACUUGGUCCAUUACUGACGCUAAAGCACGAAAGCGUGGGUAGCAAACA